Molecule: small RNA, 97 nt
Filed under: Salmonella enterica subsp. enterica
Lineage: Bacteria; Pseudomonadati; Pseudomonadota; Gammaproteobacteria; Enterobacterales; Enterobacteriaceae
Description: partial RtT sRNA
Rfam family: RtT RNA
About the family: This family represents a bacterial cis-regulatory element known as RtT RNA. The exact function of RtT is unknown although it is thought that it may be involved in changing the cellular response in relation to amino acid starvation.
Source: RNAcentral
CUAAGGUUCGAUUCGAGCGAAAGCGAGAGAACGUUGCCAACGGCAACGGCCCGAAGGGCGAAGCGCGCAGCGCUGAGUCAUCCUUCCCCCACCACCA